This 211-nucleotide ribosomal RNA is filed under the name uncultured bacterium. RNAcentral describes it as "partial 16S ribosomal RNA". It matches the Rfam family "Bacterial small subunit ribosomal RNA", at positions 1290 to 1500 of the family's 1533-position model. The record is from RNAcentral.
AGUUCGGAUUGUAGUCUGCAACCCGACUACAUGAAGCUGGAAUCGCUAGUAAUCGCGGAUCAGAAUGCCGCGGUGAAUACGUUCCCGGGUCUUGUACACACCGCCCGUCACACCAUGGGAGUCGGAAAUGCCCGAAGUCUGUGACCCAACCUUAGGGAGGGAGCAGCCGGAGGCAGGUCGGACGACUGGGGUGAAGUCGUAACAAGGUAUC